GUGUCAGCAGCCGCGGUAAAACGUAGGAGGCUAGCGUUAUCCGGAUUUAUUGGGCGUAAAGCGUGUGCAGGCGGUUUAGCAAGUUGGAUGUGAAAGCUCCUGGCUUAACUGGGAGAGGUCGUUCAAAACUGCUAGACUAGAGGAUGGAAGAGGAAGGUGGAAUUCCGGGUGUAGUGGUGAAAUGCGUAGAUAUCCGGAGGAACACCAGUGGCGAAAGCGGCCUUCUAGGCCAUUUCUGACGCUUAGACACGAAAGCUAGGGGAGCAAACGGGAUUAGAGACCCCGGUAGUCCUAGCUGUAAACGAUGUAGACUUGGCGUUGGCGGAGUUAAAUCUGCCAGUGCCGAAGCUAACGCGUGAAGUCUACCGCCUGGGGACUACGACCGCAAGGUUAAA
This 395-nucleotide ribosomal RNA is filed under the name uncultured bacterium. Its description in RNAcentral is "bacterial SSU rRNA". It matches the Rfam family "Bacterial small subunit ribosomal RNA", at positions 505 to 898 of the family's 1533-position model. The record is from RNAcentral.